RNAcentral lists this long non-coding RNA (754 nucleotides) under Marmota monax (woodchuck). The record is from RNAcentral. Lineage: Eukaryota; Metazoa; Chordata; Mammalia; Rodentia; Sciuridae.
UCCUGACUCAUGCUACCACGAGGACUCGCUGGGAGAACAGGCGUGAAAUUAGCCAGAUGCCUGGGCAGGCCCUGCUGACCUCACUGACAGGAGGCGCCAGCGGUAGGCACCUUCAGAGACGAGAACCGAGGCGACCCGGACCGCGGGGAGGGGAGUUUCCACUGGAGGAUAAGCGCCCUGGAGGUGUGCGGAGGGGAGGGUCACCACAGUGACAAUGUGCUUGAUGCCCCAGAACUGGCCUGCGAGAAGUGGUGAAGAUGAUGAAUUUCCUGUCAGGGAUGCUUUGCCACAAUAAAAAAUUUAAACAAAAUAUUUUCGGCAACAGGAAGAUUAGAUCGUCUGCACUCCUUACAUGAUAAAUAUUGAUCUUAGGAAAUGGAACUUCAGUUCUGAAAUGAUGAGUCAUAGCUGCUCAAGGAACGCAGGACAGAAAAGUGAAACCACUAUUUCCUGGAACUGGCGCAGAAGGGGUCAGUAGGUCUGGAUGGAACCCAUUUCCCCUCCGUCGGGGAAUGAAGGGAAAGCGGUUCUACGAGAGGCGUGGACGCGGGGCCGGGGGUGGAAAGACCGGCUUCCAGGCUCUGUAGACGCUUGUUUCCAGGAACUCGGACCUUGGAUUUCCUGCUUCCCCGUGGACUAGGUCAGUGGAGCCCCCUGUUAAAAUUGGGUUUCCUUUUUAUGAAAAGAUUAUUUUAGGAAAUUUCUGCAAUUUCCUGGACCUGAGAUUCAACCACGUGGUACAACCACCAUCGAC